GCGCGCGUAGCUCAAUUGGCUAGAGCACUUUCUUGACGUGAAAGGGGUUCCCUGUUCGAGUCAGAGCGCGCGCACCA
Molecule: transfer RNA, 77 nt
Filed under: Candidatus Yanofskybacteria bacterium RIFCSPHIGHO2_12_FULL_41_9
Lineage: Bacteria; Candidatus Yanofskyibacteriota
Description: tRNA-Val
Source: RNAcentral